UACGGAGGGGGCUAGCGUUGUUCGGAAUUACUGGGCGUAAAGCGCGCGUAGGCGGAUCUGCAAGUCGGGGGUGAAAUCCCGAGGCUCAACCUCGGAACUGCCUUCGAUACUGCGGGUCUCGAGUCCGGGAGAGGUGAGUGGAAUUCCUAGUGUAGAGGUGAAAUUCGUAGAUAUUAGGAAGAACACCAGUGGCGAAGGCGGCUCACUGGCCCGGUACUGACGCUGAGGCACGAAGGCCAGGGGAGCAAACGGG
RNAcentral lists this ribosomal RNA (253 nucleotides) under uncultured bacterium. Its description in RNAcentral is "partial 16S ribosomal RNA". It matches the Rfam family "Bacterial small subunit ribosomal RNA", at positions 524 to 776 of the family's 1533-position model. The record is from RNAcentral.